This 1657-nucleotide long non-coding RNA is filed under the name Monodelphis domestica (gray short-tailed opossum). Its description in RNAcentral is "lncRNA (ENSMODG00000042801.1)". Lineage: Eukaryota; Metazoa; Chordata; Mammalia; Didelphimorphia; Didelphidae. The record is from RNAcentral.
UCUUGUGCCUGGAAGGAAGAGGGAAGGAGGGAGGGAAAGAAGAAAGGGAAGGAGGGAAAGAAGGGAGGAAGGAAGGAAAGAAUAAAAGAGGGAAGGAGGGGAGGAAGGAAAGGAGGGAGGAGAAAAGGAAAGAGGAAAGGAAAGAAGGAUGGAGGGAAUGAAGGGAGGAAGGAAGGAAGGAAGAAAAGAAGGAAGGAAAUAAGAAGGAAGGAAAGAAGGGAGGAGAAUGGGAAGGAAGGAAGGAAAGAAGAAAGGGAGGGAGGGAAAGAAGAGAGGAAGGAAGAAAGGAAGAAAAGAGGGAAGGAGGGAAAGAAGAAGGAAGGAAAGGAGGGAAGAGAAAGAAAAGGAAGAAACGAAAGAAGAAAGAGAUGGAAGAAGGAAGAAAGGAAGGAGGGAAAGAAGGAAAGGAGGGAGGAGAAAGGGAAGGAAGAAAUGAAAGAAAGGAAAAGAGGGAAGAGGGAAGGAAGGGAAAGAAGGGAGGAAGGGAAUAAGCAUUUAUUAAGUGCUAAGUACUAUGCUGACCACUUUAUUCUCUCAUUUGUUCUUCACAACUCUGAGGUAUGUGCUAUCUCCAUUUUACAAUGGAGGGAAAUGAGCAAAGGUGAAGUGACUUGCCCAGGUUGGCAUAAGCUAAUAAGUGUUAGAAGCUGGAUUUGAAUUUAUUUUCCUGACUCCUGACCUAGAGUUCUAAUGCACUACCUUAAUACACAAUUGUUGACUUGCCUUCUCUGCUUGGCCGCUGUUGUCUGUCCUCUGCUGUUUUGUACCACUGGCCAAGUAUCACCAGCGCAUUUUUUAGCUCAUUUUUUAGACCCAGAGCCAUGCCCCUCUGACUGCUGUUGAGAUUUUUUUUCAAACCAAGCCCCAUUUGGGGUUGGGAGGACACUGCCACCAGGAAGCCUCCCAGGCUUUUUUGGUUGGGACAAGUAAAUUCAAUCCCUCUUCUGCCCUGGCAAGUUGGGACCAGAGUGGUACAAAUUCCCUGAAAGCUUCCCUAAGCUUCAAGGAGAAAGCGAUUAUAUGGGUUAGAGUUGGCAACCUCGCCCUGCCCUCCUGCCACCAGAGUCACACAUGUUCUUCUUGGCUGAGGAGAAAGGGAGGAGGCCUGGCUCCAGGAAGCUGGGAAGCCCGAGCCUGAGUGAGAACCCGGCACUAGAGCUACUAGAGAGGUUUUGCCUGGAGCAGGGAAUGCAUGAAGUGGAUUUUCAAGUCUGUAGUUGCAGAGGAGAGAUUAGCUUUGUUCUGCCUCACCCAGAAGGUCCCAGGUCUAGAACUAUGGGGUAGAGUUUGAAAAACAAAAAACAAAAAAACGAGGGAAAGCAACCUCCUGGGGGCUCUCAGAGUGCAAUGGGCAGCCUGGCAAGGAAGGGGGUCUUCAAAGGGGCAGGACAUCCAUUGGUUGGGAGUAUCAGGUGUUUUCUGCUUAAUUCCCUACUUUCUGUCCCAAACUAAAGGGCAAGGGCUAGACAAAUGGGGUUCAGUGACUUGCCCAGGGUCACCCAGCUGGGAAGUGUCUGGUCAAAUAUGAACCCAGAACCUCCCUCUCUUGGCCUGGCUCUCAAUCCACUGAGCCACCUAGUUACCCUCCCCCCACCUUGUUGUUUUUAGGGUAAAAUGGGAUGUUUGUCACGCCUUGGGGGAACUUUAAAGCACUAGU